Molecule: non-coding RNA, 71 nt
Organism: Gemmatimonas sp. SG8_23
Lineage: Bacteria; Pseudomonadati; Gemmatimonadota; Gemmatimonadia; Gemmatimonadales; Gemmatimonadaceae
Source: Rfam
UGGCCCGUCGUCUAAUGGCAGGACACCGGUCUUUGGAACCGGUAGUGGUGGUUCGAAUCCACCCGGGCCAA